GAUGAAGAACGCAGCGAAAUGCGAUAAGUAAUGUGAAUUGCAGAAUUCAGUGAAUCAUCGAAUCUUUGAACGCACAUUGCGCCCGCCAGUAUUCUGGCGGGCAUGCCUGUUCGAGCGUCAUUUCAACCAUCAAGCCCCCGGCUUGUGUUGGGGACCUGCGGCUGCCGCAGGCCCUGAAAACCAGUGGCGGGCUCGCUAGUCACUCCGAGCGUAGUAAUACAUCUCGCUCAGGGCGUGCUGCGGGUUCCGGCCGUUAAAAAAGCCUUAUUUACCCAAGGUUGACCUCGGAUCAGGUAGGAAGACCCGCUGAACUUAAGCAUAUCAAUAAGCGGAGGA
RNAcentral lists this unclassified non-coding RNA (336 nucleotides) under soil metagenome. RNAcentral describes it as "partial contains 5.8S ribosomal RNA, internal transcribed spacer 2, and large subunit ribosomal RNA". The stretch from base 1 to 120 matches the Rfam family "5.8S ribosomal RNA", at positions 35 to 154 of the family's 154-position model. The record is from RNAcentral.